RNAcentral lists this ribosomal RNA (888 nucleotides) under uncultured bacterium. RNAcentral's name for it is "bacterial SSU rRNA". It matches the Rfam family "Bacterial small subunit ribosomal RNA", at positions 59 to 944 of the family's 1533-position model. The record is from RNAcentral.
CAGUCGAACGGCAGCGCGGGGCAACCUGGCGGCGAGUGGCGAACGGGUGAGUAAUAUAUCGGAACGUACCCAAGAGUGGGGGAUAACGUAGCGAAAGUUACGCUAAUACCGCAUACGAUCUAUGGAUGAAAGUGGGGGAUCGCAAGACCUCAUGCUCCUGGAGCGGCCGAUAUCUGAUUAGCUAGUUGGUGAGGUAAAGGCUCACCAAGGCGACGAUCAGUAGCUGGUCUGAGAGGACGACCAGCCACACUGGAACUGAGACACGGUCCAGACUCCUACGGGAGGCAGCAGUGGGGAAUUUUGGACAAUGGGCGCAAGCCUGAUCCAGCAAUGCCGCGUGAGUGAAGAAGGCCUUCGGGUUGUAAAGCUCUUUUGUCAGGGAAGAAACGGUUGUGGCUAAUAUCCACGGCUAAUGACGGUACCUGAAGAAUAAGCACCGGCUAACUACGUGCCAGCAGCCGCGGUAAUACGUAGGGUGCAAGCGUUAAUCGGAAUUACUGGGCGUAAAGCGUGCGCAGGCGGUUUUGUAAGUCUGUCGUGAAAUCCCCGGGCUCAACCUGGGAAUUGCGAUGGAGACUGCAAGGCUAGAAUCUGGCAGAGGGGGGUAGAAUUCCACGUGUAGCAGUGAAAUGCGUAGAGAUGUGGAGGAACACCGAUGGCGAAGGCAGCCCCCUGGGUCAAGAUUGACGCUCAUGCACGAAAGCGUGGGGAGCAAACAGGAUUAGAUACCCUGGUAGUCCACGCCCUAAACGAUGUCUACUAGUUGUCGGGUUUUUAAUUAACUUGGUAACGCAGCUAACGCGUGAAGUAGACCGCCUGGGGAGUACGGUCGCAAGAUUAAAACUCAAAGGAAUUGACGGGGACCCGCACAGGCGGUGGAUGAUGUGG